This is a long non-coding RNA of Centruroides sculpturatus (bark scorpion), 481 nucleotides long. RefSeq lists it as uncharacterized. The record is from RefSeq and is a predicted model, not a curated record. NCBI's taxonomy places the organism in Eukaryota, Metazoa, Arthropoda, Arachnida, Scorpiones, Buthidae. The transcript has 2 exons.
UCCAAAUUAAUACAUAUAAAAACAAUUUAUUUAACAGGAGUGAAUUAGAAAAAGAAUUACAAGAAGAUCAACAGAAAACAACAACUUAUUUUGAAGAAUAUCUUCAGCUAAAAGAUGAAAAGGAUAGUCUAAUGAAACUGAAAAAGAAUUUGCAGGUUCAGAUUGAUCUAAUCAAAGCCGAACAAAGAAAACGCCAAUUUUCUAAAAAUGUAAAUAAUAACAGUGAUGAUUGGGUCAUGGUGGACUGAAAAGCAUUCACAUCAGAACAAUAGUGUAAAACUUUUGUCUGCCUAAAUAAAUCAACUAAAUAUGUCUAAUAACUCAAAAAAAAUAAAAGACUGUCUAUUAAGACAAAAAAUUUGUAUAAAGUAUGAAAAUGCCAUUCAUGUUUAUAGUACCAACUGUGGAAGGAGAAACGAACAUUUGUUACAUUGUAGCUUUGUAUAAAAUAAACAUAGUAAAUUCAGUAUUUUUAAAUUAA